RNAcentral lists this transfer RNA (37 nucleotides) under Moniliophthora perniciosa FA553. RNAcentral describes it as "tRNA-Ala". Lineage: Eukaryota; Fungi; Basidiomycota; Agaricomycetes; Agaricales; Marasmiaceae. The record is from RNAcentral.
AUGCGAAGCGUGCGCGCUACCACUGUGCCAAGUGCCC